This 442-nucleotide small RNA is filed under the name Pan troglodytes (chimpanzee). RNAcentral's name for it is "processed transcript". The record is from RNAcentral. Lineage: Eukaryota; Metazoa; Chordata; Mammalia; Primates; Hominidae.
AGAUGAAAACUCUCCUCCUGAAAGGACCUUUGCUGAGUGCUGGGGGAGGCGGGGCGCGGGGAAGAACGGAGACCGCCCAGGAGGCUGCGGCACUCCUGGGCUAAAGGUGAGUGCCGGGCUCGGCGCUCUGCUCCUGGAGCUCCCGCGGGACUGCCUGGGGACAGGGACUGCUGUGGCGCUCGGCCCUCCACUGCGGACCUCUCCUGAGUGGGUGCGCCGAGUCAUGGAGGGCGCAGAGCUGGCCGGGAAGAUCCUUUCCACCUGGCUGACGCUGGUUCUCGGCUUCAUCCUUUUACCUUCGGUCUUCGGAGUGUCUCUGGGCAUCUCCGAGAUCUACAUGAAGAUCCUAGUGAAAACUUUAGAGUGGGCCACAAUACGAAUUGAAAAAGGAACCCCAAAGGAGUCGAUUCUUAAAAACUCUGCUUCUAUUGGUGAGUUUUCC